Molecule: ribosomal RNA, 229 nt
Filed under: uncultured bacterium
Lineage: Bacteria
Description: partial 16S ribosomal RNA
Rfam family: Bacterial small subunit ribosomal RNA
Source: RNAcentral
UGCGUAGGCGGACUAAUAAGUCAGUGGUGAAAUCUUUCGGCUCAACCGGGAAACUGCCAUUGAUACUGUUAGUCUUGAGUUCGGUUGAGGUAGGCGGAAUGUGUAAUGUAGCGGUGAAAUGCUUAGAUAUUACACAGAACACCAAUUGCGUAGGCAGCUUACUAGACCGACACUGAUGCUGAGGCACGAAAGCGUGGGGAGCGAACAGGAUUAGAUACCCUGGUAGUCC